CUGACAUUAUUAUUUACAAGUCAUCCUUCUGUUGUAAUGGUAGCAAGCAUCCCUGACCAAAACUUGGAGUGACCUCACGCCAUGAUGACGAGGUUAAAUGUCCGGCCCUGAGCGGGAAGCUGCCCCGUGGCCUGGCCAGGGGCUUGAUGACCGUCCACCACCCAUUCGCGGGGCGUGGCGGGCCGAGCACAGGCUGAGUGGU
Eriocheir sinensis (Chinese mitten crab) is the source of this 202-nucleotide small nucleolar RNA. RefSeq annotates it as small nucleolar RNA U3. Lineage: Eukaryota; Metazoa; Arthropoda; Malacostraca; Decapoda; Varunidae. The record is from RefSeq and is a predicted model, not a curated record. The transcript has a single exon.